This 388-nucleotide ribosomal RNA is filed under the name Streptococcus mitis. RNAcentral describes it as "bacterial LSU rRNA". It matches the Rfam family "Bacterial large subunit ribosomal RNA", at positions 1 to 392 of the family's 2925-position model. Lineage: Bacteria; Bacillati; Bacillota; Bacilli; Lactobacillales; Streptococcaceae. The record is from RNAcentral.
AUAAGGUUAAGUUAAUAAGGGCGCACGGUGGAUGCCUUGGCACUAGGAGCCGAAGAAGGACGUGACAAACGACGAUAUGCCUUGGGUAGCUGUAAGUAAGCGAUGAUCCAGGGAUUUCCGAAUGGGGGAACCCAACAGGUACUACCUGUUACCCGCAUCUGUUAAGGAUGUGAGGAGGAAGACGCAGUGAACUGAAACAUCUAAGUAGCUGCAGGAAGAGAAAGCAAAAGCGAUUGCCUUAGUAGCGGCGAGCGAAACGGCAGGAGGGCAAACCGAAGAGUUUACUCUUCGGGGUUGUAGGACUGUAAUGUGGACUCAAAGAUUAUAGAAGAAUGAUUUGGGAAGAUCAGCCAAAGAGAGUAAUAGCCUCGUAUUUAAAAUAGUCUUU